UUGGGUUCGGGAUCGGGUUUAGGUUUAGGUUAGGGAGUUGAGAUUAGGAUUAGGUGUAGGUUUAGGUUUAGGGAUUUGAGAAUACAUUUAGGUUUUAGGUUUAGGUUUAGGUUUUAGGUUAUAGGUUAAGGUUUAGGUUUUAGGUUUAGGUUAAGGUUAGGUUAUAGGUUAUAAGUUUAGGUUAUAGGUUAUAGGUUAAGGUUUUAGGUCAUAGGUUUUGGUUUUGGUUAAGGUUAUAGGCUUAGGUUUAGGUUUAGGUUAUAAGCUAUAGGUUUAGGGAAUUGAGAAUAGGUUAAGGUUUAGGUUUAGGAAAUCGGGUUCGGGUUCGGGAUCGGGUUUAGGUUUGGGUUUUCAAGUUUAGGUUUAGGUUUAGGUUAGGGAGUUGAGAUUAGGAUUAGGUGAAGGUUUAGGUUUAGGGAUUUGAGAAUACAUUUAGGUUAUAGGUUUAGGUUUAGGUUUAGGUUAAGGUUUAGGUUUAGGUUAUAAGCUAUAGGUUUAGGGAAUUGAGAAUAGGUUAAGGUUUAGGUUUAGGAAAUCGGGUUCGAGGUCGGGAUCGGGUUUAGGUUUGGGUUUUCAAGUAUAGGUUUAGGUUUAGGUUAGGGAGUUGAGAUUAGGAUUAAGUGUAGGUUUAGGUUUAGGGAUUUGAGAAUACAUUUAGGUUUUAGGUUUAGGUUUAGGUUUUAGGUUAUAGGUUAAGGUUUAGGUUUUAGGUUUAGGUUAAGGUUAGGUUAUAGGUUAUAAGUUUAGGUUUUAGGUCAUAGGUUUUGGUUUAGAUUAAGGUUAUAGGUUUAGGUUAAGGUUUAGGUGUAGGUUUAGGUUAAGGUUUUGGUUUAGGUUAUAAGCUAUAGGUUUAGGGAAUUGAGAAUUAGUUAAGGUUUAGGUUUAGGAAAUUGGGUUCGGGUUCGGGAUC
Long non-coding RNA from Magnolia sinica, 910 nucleotides. RefSeq lists it as uncharacterized. The transcript is spliced from 3 exons. The record is from RefSeq and is a predicted model, not a curated record. Lineage: Eukaryota; Viridiplantae; Streptophyta; Magnoliopsida; Magnoliales; Magnoliaceae.